RNAcentral lists this ribosomal RNA (433 nucleotides) under uncultured bacterium. RNAcentral describes it as "bacterial SSU rRNA". It matches the Rfam family "Bacterial small subunit ribosomal RNA", at positions 28 to 507 of the family's 1533-position model. The record is from RNAcentral.
GAUUAACGCUAGCGGUGUGUAUAAUACAUGCAAGUCGAACGAUGCUUUUAGUAUAGUGGCGGACGAGCGAGUAACACGUUGGAACCUACCCCGAACUCAGGGAUAACAUUUAGAAAUAAAUGCUAAUACCGGAUAGUCCCGCAAGGGUAAAGAUUUUUCGGUUCGGGAGGGUCCUGCGGCCUAUCAGCUUGUUGGUGAGGUAAUGGCUUACCAAGGCUAUGACGGGUAGCUGGUCUGAGAGGAUGACCAGUCGCGAUGGGACUGAGACACGGCCCAUACUCCUACGGGAGGCAGCAGUAAGGAAUCUUCCGCAAUGGACGAAAGUCUGACGGAGCAACACCGCGUGGUUGAUGAAGCCCCUUGGGGUGUAAAGACCUUUUCUGAGGGAAGAACUCUGACGGUACCUUAGGAAUAAGCACCGGCUAACUCCGUG